Molecule: ribosomal RNA, 440 nt
Filed under: uncultured bacterium
Lineage: Bacteria
Description: bacterial SSU rRNA
Rfam family: Bacterial small subunit ribosomal RNA
Source: RNAcentral
CCUACGGGAGGCAGCAGUAAGGGAUAUUGCACAAUGGGCGCAAGCCUGAUGCAGCAACGCCGCGUGCAGGAAGCAGGGCUUCGGCUCGUAAACUGCUUUUCGGGAGGACGAGAGUGACGGUACUCCCGGAAGAAGUCUCGGCUAACUACGUGCCAGCAGCCGCGGUAAAACGUAGGAGGCAAGCGUUAUCCGGAUUUACUGGGCGUAAAGGGCGUGCAGGUGGUGGUUUAAGUGGCGCGUGAAAGCGCUCGGCUCAACCGGGCGAGGGCGUGCCAGACUGGGGCACUAGAAACAGGCAGAGGAACGUGGAAUUCCGGGUGGAGUGGUGAAAUGCGUAGAGAUCCGGAGGAACUCCCGUGGCGAAGGCGAGGUUCUGGGCCUGCUUUGACACUCAGACGCGAAAGCAUGGGGAGCGAACGGGAUUAGAUACCCGUGUAGUC